Molecule: transfer RNA, 74 nt
Filed under: Candidatus Saganbacteria bacterium
Lineage: Bacteria; Bacillati
Description: tRNA-Arg
Rfam family: tRNA
About the family: Transfer RNA (tRNA) molecules are approximately 80 nucleotides in length. Their secondary structure includes four short double-helical elements and three loops (D, anti-codon, and T loops).
Source: RNAcentral
GCGCCCGUAGCUCAACUGGAUAGAGCAUCAGUUUCCUAAACUGAGGGUUGAGUGUUCAAGUCACUCCGGGCGCA